ACAGAGGUGGCGAGCGUUACUCGGAUUUAUUGGGUGUAAAGGGCAAGUAGGCGUCUUGACAAGUUAGGGGUGAAAUCCUGCAGCUCAACUGCAGAACUGCUCUUAAAACUGUUGAGAUUGAGUUUGGGAGAGGAAAGCGGAAUUCUCGGUGUAAGAGUGAAAUCUGUAGAUAUCGAGAGGAACACCAGUGGCGAAGGCGGCUUUCUGGCCCAGUACUGACGCUGAAUUGCGAAAGCUAGGGGAGCAAACAG
RNAcentral lists this ribosomal RNA (251 nucleotides) under uncultured prokaryote. RNAcentral's name for it is "partial 16S ribosomal RNA". It matches the Rfam family "Bacterial small subunit ribosomal RNA", at positions 525 to 775 of the family's 1533-position model. The record is from RNAcentral.